AACAAGGCCAUCGAUGGUACGCUCGGACAACUAGUCGUGUUUCUUAGCUCGCGUGGCUGGUAACAAGCUCGGCAUCCAUUUUUCCAAACUUACCAAGAUGCCGAUGACCGUUAUUUCUUUCGGCUCCACUAUCUGUGUUUUGCUCGAGUCCCUAUGACCUAAUCUUUUUCAUGUGAUUGUUAUAGUAUGACACAUUGUUCUGUAUGAUUUUUUCAAAUACAUGGUGAUAUUUGCAGUUAAUCUUUUUCAUCCAAGUGAUUGGUUUAAUAAAUUCUGGAUUCUAUUAAAGGGUUGUGUUUUAUGAAUCGAUGGUUUAUACGUAGAAAUGGUAGAGAUUUUUAUUGUCAUUUCCUGUAAUUUCAGUGUAGAUUUUCGAGACCGAAAAAUUUUGUAAGUUUGCAUCUGUACUUGCAUGCGCUGCGAAUGUAUUAGCUCUCCAUCUUAUCUCUUAUUUUUUUACGCAACCAUUCAUUUCUCGAGAAAAAAUUGCAACUCAGUGUACGGUGUAGAUUGAUAGAUGAUAUGGGAUCGACGGCCGAUGGAAGUGUGUUGUAUGUAUGUAUGUACAGGUGCAUCAUCUGUAAGCUACAAGGGGAUAUUUAGAAAUGACUAUUCAACGUUUAAAAAUUUUGAUUUUACUAUCUGACCUUUCAAAUAGUUUGAUUUAUUUUUUAAAAAAUAAUUGCAUGCAUCAUGUCAUUUUUUUUUCCUAAAUACAUCGCGUAUUAUUGAUUAGUAUGUGAGGAAACGUGAUGCAGCUAGGUUUCGAACUUAGACAUCUCGGGUAUCAACUAUGAUAGGGAUUGCCAUUGCAUGUAGUAGUCGAAAUUAAUAAACAACUAAAAUCAAACAAAAUAAAAAAGAUUAGAUAAUAAAAUCAAAAUUGUAAAAGAUUACAUAGUGGUUUCUUANAUCAGCAUCCUCGCUCAGGUUCGGCGCCGAAUUCAGGUCACAACACUAAAAGCACACUUUGUCUCCUAAUUCCCCUUCCUCUCUUUUUUUCUUUUUUUCUUUUUUUUUUGGAUGCAGGAGCGCGUUCUCGGGGCCGCGUUGGGGAUCGCGUUCACGGGCUCCAUCCUCUUCCAUCAGCGCCGGGAGAUUUACCGAUCCAUACCCAAGAACAGUUCUUACUCAUAUCAGGUAUCGAUUUCACUAUUCUCCCCUUUUUUUCCGAUUCAAAAUCGAUCAUCAGAUCAGUAAAAACAAAAAAAAAACAAAAAAACGAAAAAAAAAAGAUACAUAAUUCACACAAUUUUGAGGAGCAUGCGUAACUCGUUUCGUAGAUCGCGCAAAUUUGGACGAGGUAUAAUUUUUUUUUUGUUUUUUCCGUAUAAGAUUCGGAAGUUGGUUCAUCAAAUGAGGAGAUGUUUCUCUUUGGAAACAAUACAUUUGCGAAUAGGCUUUUAGUGAUCUUCAUGUCUUAAUUUGUAUGGUAUUCAAAGUUGGUUUUGAUUCGCCGUAUCUUACAAUUGAACUGCAAAGUUGUGUUGCUAGGCAUGGUUUUGUUAGACAAAUUUGUUAUUAUGUAGUUUCACAAUCAACGUAUCCAACAUCUAUAGCAUUUAAAACUCGUCGGUAGCAACAUCUUCUUUAUGAGUUAUCAUCUAAUUAUCAUGUUGAGAAUUCUCUUCAAUGGAUUCUCUCUCUUUUUUUUAACUCUUGUUUGGACAAUAGAUGAAAAUUUUAGCCCACCUCAGGAAAAAAGUAUUUUCGCGUGAGUUACUGUAACUAGUAAGAGUAUUGAACCAUUAGAGGGGAACGAAGAGUACGCACAAGUGCACGCGAUGCCACAUGGCCCCUCUCGAGUGAGAGAAAAAAAAUUGCUAGAAUUUCUUCAGUUAUAUUGUUGAUGUGACAUCACCAACCAAUCAAAUUGUUAUAGAAAAAAUAUUCUUUUUUAUACUUUUCUCUUAAAUAGACGGAUGUGAUUGACUGGUUAGAGAUGAUGUGGUGUGACUGCUACGUAGUAGAAAUCCUCCUCAAGUGACUCCCUAGAGAGGAAGAGUACAAAAAACCAAAGUUAAAAGUGGUAAAUUUCAUUUCAUGUUAUACUACCAAACGCGCAUGUGCGAAUGCAUGUUUAUUAUAGUGAGGUUGUAAGCAGGGUUUGAGCAGUUACAUGCAAAGAAGUUCCCUUUUGUUAAAUAUUUACAAGCGAAGCAGUUGAGUUUCUUUUCGUUUGGAGUUUGGACACUGUGGGUUGUGCAAUAUUUCCUUGAUUUUCUACUUUCCAGAUAAAUCAUCUGAAGCUAAAAUGAUGUUCAGAAGUGUAGAUAGUAAGCAAGCCAGCUGCUGAAAUCAACUUAGUUACCAGUUAGUUGUAAUUAAAUUCGUGCAUGCGUGCGUUCAACAUAGUGCAUUACCUUUUAUUCUUCUACGUUUUGUUAUUGUGAUCUCGAACUCUAUAAGUUGAUGACAUGUAAGUGGAUUUUCUUUGCAGUAUAAAGAAUUAACACAUGGAAAGAACUCUACGGAUCUUGCUCGAAUGUGGAACAAGGCCAUCGAUGGUACGCUCGGACAACUAGUCCUGUUUCUUAGCUCGCGUGGCUGGUAACAAGCUCGGCGUCCAUUUUUCCAAACUUACCAAGAUGCCGAUGACCGUUAUUUCUUUUGGCUCCACUAUCUGUGUUUUGCUCGAGUCCCUAUGACCUAAUCUUUUUCAUGUGAUUGUUAUAGUAUGACACAUUGUUCUGUAUGAUUUUUUCAAAUACAUGGUGAUAUUUGCAGUUAAUCUUUUUCAUCCAAGUGAUUGGUAUAAUAAAUUCUGGAUUCUAUUAAAGGGUUGUGUUUUAUGAAUCGAUGGUUUAUACGUAGAAAUGGUAGAGAUUUUUAUUGUCAUUUCCUGUAAUUUCAGUGUAGAUUUUCGAGACCUCAAACUUUUGUAAGUAUGCAUCUGUACUUGCAUGCACCGCGAAUGUAUUAGCUCUCCAUCUAAUCUCUUAUUUUUUUACGCAACCAUUCAUUUCUCUGAGUAGAGAAAAGAUUGCUACUCAGUGUACGGUGUAGAUUGAUAGAUGAUAUGGGAUCGACGGCGGAUUGAAGUGUGUUGUAUGUAUGUAUGUACAGGUGCAUCAUCUGUAAGCAAUAAGGGGGG
RNAcentral lists this long non-coding RNA (3094 nucleotides) under Ananas comosus (pineapple). Its description in RNAcentral is "long non-coding RNA (ACOM_LNC004763)". Lineage: Eukaryota; Viridiplantae; Streptophyta; Magnoliopsida; Poales; Bromeliaceae. The record is from RNAcentral.